This is a long non-coding RNA of Dunckerocampus dactyliophorus (ringed pipefish), 4777 nucleotides long. RefSeq lists it as uncharacterized. Lineage: Eukaryota; Metazoa; Chordata; Actinopteri; Syngnathiformes; Syngnathidae. The record is from RefSeq and is a predicted model, not a curated record. The transcript has 3 exons.
UUCCAGCAGACGAGAAGCUUGUUCGGAUGAGAAAUGUUGACGCUUUCAUCAUGUUAGCAUUGUUGUGAUGUAGGAUCUGACAUUUAUCAUUCUACUAAUAUACUGCUUCCAACAUAAACGUGACAUUUUGCUGGUGACAAUUAUUUUUUGAUGAAAACCUCUGAUCGGUUCAUCAGCGGUAAAAAUAAUAAUGGCAUAUCAAAGACAACGUUAGUUGUAAACAGAUGUUGUUGGUUGCAAUCAAUCAUCCAUAAAAGAUCAAUAUCCUGAUUUGGGCUCAGCAACCCAUGUCCGACAGAACAAAGAGAUGCUAAUAGCUAAACAAGCUAACCCUAGCAUUUAGCUUACCUUUGUCCUCGCGGCGGUCGGCCGCCAUCUUCGGUCAUUCACGGUCAGACGUUUCGUGCGUCCAACUCCGUUACCGGUACCGACACGAAUUUGUUCUGAUCGAUAUGAACAAUUGAAAAAUCUUAAUAAUGGACUGAGAGCUACGGAAAGAGAGCAGACGUGUGUUUGUACCGGAAGUUGGUCUGCUGGGGACUUCCGUUAAAAUGGCGACGCAAACGUGGACAGCUAGCGAGAUAUUUUGGAGGGUUAGCUAUGCGUUAGCUAGCCACUGCCACUCACAUGGAAAACCAUUGUAGGGGUAAAUACUUUAGAGUUACAAAAAUAAUGAAUGAAUCACAUAUAUCCUUAAGACAUCAGAAUGAAGCUUUUAAAAAUUGAAUCAGUGAACGCUAGAUAAACACCGUACAGUGUAUAAUUAACAAAUGCGCUGUGUGAGCAUGCUGUAGAGAGAUCCAUAGACAUUAAAACAUGUCAUUUGCAACUGACAACGUCUUAGAAUAUAUAACGAUUGAAAUGUGGAAAAUAACAAAUAUGUAUUAGUAAGUUGUAAGAAUAGAACACCCAAGUGUUGACAUGUUUGAGGACUGCUGAAAAAAAAUAUUUUGACCCCUAGUAAAUGUUACUUAAAUUAAGCAUAUUUUAAUAGAAAUAGCUGUAUUAUUUAACUCCACUUAUAAAAUAUAAGUAAUUUCAACCUAUAUUGUCAAAAAUAUGACUAUUGUAUUUUAUUGAAUUAAAUGUAGCUCGAAAAAAUUAAGCUUCACCAAAUUCCGCAUACCAUCCGGUUUGGAUUUUGAAGUUUGCGCAUGCGCAAGGACAUACCGCCUUUUUCAAAAUUUGCAGGUCAGCCGUCAGUUACUCACUCUGGAGUCUGGUUACCCUGUAGGUGCAUGUUGCUGUCAUUAUAGCCUGAAUUCCAAAUUGUUUGGAAAAGAAGUGGUGUAUGGAAGUCCAGGUGUUGGAGAGAUGAAAGUGAGGUGGCCUGCACUUUUCCAUGUUAAUGAGUGCUGAAUUUCAGUGAAUUACAACACAUCCACUCAUGACACCUUCAUGGCACGGUUGGACAGUCUUCAGCCUCAGCUGACAUCAGGUUUCCAGAAAAAGAGAGGCAUCACUGGCCAGAGACUAGGCAAACAUCUGCAGAUCUUACAAGAGGUAUAAGUGUUCAUUCAUUGUUGUCCAUAGGUGUGCUUUAAUAUAUUCUGUUCCAGUAAAGCCUGGAUCAAAAAUGUAAGACACAUUUCCAAAGAAAUAUUUUACAUGUUUACAUGUUAUGGUAUAGAAAAAAACGCUGUUUUCUCUGGUGGGACAGUGAAUUUACACCACCUGCACUGAGCAAGAUUUUUGACCAUGUCCAUGACCAUCGCCAUAGUACUUUCAUUCCUAUACGAUUCAAGAUUCAAGAUUCAAGAUUCAAGAGUUUUAUUUUCAUAUGCAUAGUAAAACCCGCUGGAGUGCCUUCCUAUCAUGUGUUGUACAGUUACCGUACCAAACAGUGAUGGAGGCUGUAAGGACACUUUCCAUAGUGCAUCUGUAGAAGCAACUAAGGAUUGUGGUGGACAUGCCAAAUUUCCUCAGUCUUCUCAGGAAGUACAGUCUCCUUUGGGACUUCUUCUGGAGUUUAGCUGGGUCGGGACUAAGUUGGCCCCGUUCCACAAUGAACCCCAGAAAAGAAACGGAUGACGAGUGAAAAGAACAUUUCUCCGCCUUAACAAAUAGUUUGUUCUCAAGCAAUCUUUGGAGUACUAGCCGCACGUGCUGGACGUGCUCCUCAAGCGACGAGGAAAAAAUUAGGAUGUCGUCCAAAUAAACGAAAAUGAAACGACCAAGCAUGUCUCACAGGACGUCAUUGAUGAAGCUUUGAAAUACGGCCGGAGCGUUGGUGAGCCCGAAGGGCAUGACGAGAUAUUCAAAAUGUCCGAGAGGGGUAUUGAAGGCGGUCUUCCAUUCGUCACCCUCUCGGACACGGACAAGAUGGUAGGCGGAACGGAGGUCGAGCUUAGUGAAGAUUGUGGCGGAGUGGAGGGAGUUGAAGGCGGAAUCCAUAAGCGGUAAUGGGUAUUUAUUUUUGACUGUUAUAUCAUUGAGAGCGCGGUAGUCUACACAGGGGCGUAAGGACUUAUCCUUUUUCUCCACAAAAAAAACCCAGCAGCUAAUGGAGGAGAGGAGGGGCGAAUGAGGCCAGCCGCGAGGGAUGUGGCGAUAUAAAGUUCCAAAGCCUCCCUUUCGGGUUUAGAAAUGUUAAAUAGCCGCGAGGACGGAAGGGUAGCCCUGGGGAGUAACUCGAUGGCACAAUCAUAAGGUCUGUGCGGAGGAAGUGACUGGGCUUUCUCUUUACUGAACGCUUCCCGGAGGUCGUGGUAGACCGGAGGCACAGAGGUGAGAUCAGUUUUUUCUGGGAGUUCAAUCUGAGCGGACCGAGUGCGUGGAAACACAGAUUUGAGGCAGUGUGUGUGACAAAAAACGCUCCAAUUGAUAAUGGUGGAUUUAGUCCAAUCAAUAUGGGGGUUGUGUUUAAGCAACCGGGUAAGCCCUAAAAUGAUGGGUGCUGAGCGGGAAGGAAUGACGAGGAAGCUCAUGGACUCUGAGUGAUUACCAGAAAUGCGGAGAAGAAGUGGAACAGUUUGGUGUGUGAUAGUGGCUAGGUGACGCCCAUCAGGAGAACGCACCACUCUUGUCUCAUUGAGUUCUAUCACAGGAACACAAUGUUGUUUAACAAAAACCUCAUCAAUAAAAUUGUCAUCGGCCGCGGAGUCAAUAAACGGUUUGAUUUCUAAUUGUUUAGUUGACCAGGAGAGUGUACCUGGGAGUUGUAGUCUACGCGCCGGGUCAGGUGGUGAUGUCAUCACGGAGGGCGUGUCCGCGGGCGCGCUCGGAGGACUGGAGCGUGUUGCUUGGGUGCGUGGGCUGUCGGGGCAGAUGGGACAGCGGGAGAUGGAAUGGCCUGCCUUUCCGCAAUAGAUUCAUAGGCGGAGGAGCUUGCGUCGGUUCCUCUCCGCAGGAGUGAGACGACUCCUUCCCAGCUGCAUAGGUUCGUCGACCCUCGGCGCCGGAGGUAAUUCCCUGUAGACGGAUGGCGGAGGCGGCGUCUGUUGGGCCUGGUAGCUGCCGUGGCUGUAGCCAGGAGUGAUGCGUCUCCGGUCCGUGAGGCGAUUGUUGAGCCGUUUCUCUAUGCGGAUGGCCAAGGCGAUGAGGUCGUCGAGGGUCGCCGGAGUCUCCAGCGGAAUCAUCUGGUCCUUGAUGGGGUCGGCAAGGCCCGUGAAGAAUACGUCCAACAGAGCAGAAGCGUUCCAGUCACUCUUUGCUGCGAGCGCACAGAAUUCCACGGCGUAGUCAACGGUGCUGCGGCGCCCCUGACUUAUCCGCAGAAGGGUGCGUGCUGCGUCGCGACCAGGAGGAGUUCGUUGGAACACCUGUUCCAUAGCUUUGGUGAAGGCGGAAUAGGAGGAGCAAAUGGGGGAACGACGGCUCCAUUCCGCCGUGGCCCACUCCCCGGCUCUGCCCGUCAGGUGGGAUAUAAUGAAGGCGAUCCGUGCCCGCUCGGACCGGAAGGCAGCUGCCUGCAGCUCGAAAUGGAGCUCGCAUUGAGUCAAGAAGGUGUGUACCUCGCCGGAGUCGCCGGAGAACCUCUCGGGUUUGGACAGCGCUGUGCCGAAUGCAGGUAAGAUGGCGUCUGACGAGGGCGAGGGGUCUGCGGGAACCUCAGGGUUAGCGGGGGGUGUUGUGGUGGAAGAGCCUUGCUGUAGGAUAGCGACCAACGCGCCGAGCUGGGUCUCCAGAGCCUGCAUGUGUGCGUCUUGUUGGUCCGCUAGGCUUUUGAUGCACGAACCCAAUGCAUUCAUUUGUUCCUCUUGUCUGCCCAGGCGUUGGGCCUGGUGACGUAGCGCCAGCUUAAUGGGCUCGGGCUCCGCGGGGUCCAUGGUUUUGCUGGUUUAUUCUGUUAAGUCCGUGGUGUGGUUUGGACCCCAGAUGCAGAGGCUGAGAGCUUGUGUGGUCGUAAAUGAACUUUUAAUAACAAAAAUGCAAAAAGGGCAGUUCCACCAACAGAAAGCAAUGGUGUCUUGGCAAAAGAAGGAACAGAAAAACAAAUAAAGGCAACACCAUGAAGAGCAGUACAAACUUGGGGAGUAAAGCUGGAUGGCAGGGAGGCGACAGGGUCCAAAAAGGCGUAGCACGAGGAUUGUGUAGUAGGAGUCCUGGGACGAGUAGCCAGCCGUAGCGAGACAAUAAACCAGCGGCUGCCAGCUGCGGGUAGUCAGCUUAAAUAGGUACAGACUAAUAAGCUACAGGUGUGCCCAGCGUCCCCGCCUCCAGCCUGCUCAAGGUGUGACUGCAAAAAGAGAAAACAGGCCAGGAGAAGGCAGGUACCAAGGCAACACAGCACAUCAACCACCAGUGCUCACUGGCAACUGUGACACAGACCCUUUCC